RNAcentral lists this ribosomal RNA (440 nucleotides) under uncultured bacterium. Its description in RNAcentral is "partial 16S ribosomal RNA". It matches the Rfam family "Bacterial small subunit ribosomal RNA", at positions 338 to 795 of the family's 1533-position model. The record is from RNAcentral.
CCUACGGGUGGCUGCAGUGGGGAAUAUUGCACAAUGGGGGAAACCCUGAUGCAGCGACGCCGCGUGAGUGAAGAAGUAUUUCGGUACGUAAAGCUCUAUCCGCAGGGAAGAAAAUGACGGUACCUGACCAAGAAGCCCCGGCUAACUACGUGCCAGCAGCCGCGGUAAUACGUAGGGGGCAAGCGUUAUCCGGAUUUACUGGGUGUAAAGGGAGCGUAGACGGCAGCGCAAGUCUGGAGUGAAAUGCCGGGGCCCAACCCCGGAACUGCUUUGGAAACUGUGCAGCUGGAGUGCAGGAGAGGUAAGCGGAAUUCCUAGUGUAGCGGUGAAAUGCGUAGAUAUUAGGAGGAACACCAGUGGCGAAGGCGGCUUACUGGACUGUAACUGACGUUGAGGCCCGAAAGCGUGGGGAGCAAACAGGAUUAGAUACCCCAGUAGUC